Molecule: ribosomal RNA, 429 nt
Filed under: Bacteroidota bacterium
Lineage: Bacteria; Pseudomonadati; Bacteroidota
Description: Bacteroidetes bacterium partial 16S ribosomal RNA
Rfam family: Bacterial small subunit ribosomal RNA
Source: RNAcentral
UAGGGAAUCUUCCGCAAUGGGCGAAAGCCUGACGGAGCAACGCCGCGUGAGUGAUGAAGGUCUUCGGAUCGUAAAACUCUGUUAUUAGGGAAGAACAAAUGUGUAAGUAACUAUGCACAUCUUGACGGUACCUAAUCAGAAAGCCACGGCUAACUACGUGCCAGCAGCCGCGGUAAUACGUAGGUGGCAAGCGUUAUCCGGAAUUAUUGGGCGUAAAGCGCGCGUAGGCGGUCAAUUAAGUCUGAUGUGAAAGCCCCCGGCUCAACCGGGGAGGGUCAUUGGAAACUGGUUGACUUGAGUGCAGAAGAGGAGAGUGGAAUUCCAUGUGUAGCGGUGAAAUGCGUAGAUAUAUGGAGGAACACCGGUGGCGAAAGCGGCUCUCUGGUCUGUAACUGACGCUGAGGCUCGAAAGCGUGGGGAGCGAACAGG